RNAcentral lists this ribosomal RNA (1449 nucleotides) under uncultured marine bacterium. Its description in RNAcentral is "bacterial SSU rRNA". It matches the Rfam family "Bacterial small subunit ribosomal RNA". The record is from RNAcentral.
GAGUUUGAUCAUGGCUCAGAAUGAACGCUGGCGGCACGCUUAACACAUGCAAGUCGAACGAGAUCUUCGGAUCUAGUGGCAGACGGGUGCGUAACGCGUGGGAACCUGCCCUUUAGUAAGGAAUAACUCAGGGAAACUUGUGCUAAUACCUUAUAAUCCCUUCGGGGGAAAGCUUUAUGCGCUAAUGGAUGGGCCCGCGUUAGAUUAGCUUGUUGGUGAGGUAAUGGCUCACCAAGGCGACGAUCUAUAGCUGGUCUGAGAGGAUGAUCAGCCACACUGGGACUGAGACACGGCCCAGACUCCUACGGGAGGCAGCAGUGGGGAAUAUUGGACACUGGGGGCAACCCUGAUCCAGCGAUGCCGCGUGAGUGAUGAAGGCCCUAGGGUUGUAAAACUCUUUCGCCAGGGAAGAUAAUGACGGUACCUGGUAAAGAAGAUCCGGCUAACUCCGUGCCAGCAGCCGCGGUAAUACGGAGGGAUUUAGCGUUAUUCGGAAUAACUGGGCGUAAAGCGAGCGUAGGCGGAUUUGUAAGUUGGAGGUGAAAUCCCAGGGCUUAACCCUGGAACUGCCUUCAAAACUACAUUUCUUGAGUUUGGUAGAGGAGAGUGGAAUUCCUAGUGUAGAGGUGAAAUUCGUAGAUAUUAAGAGGAACACCAGUGGCGAAGGCGACUCUCUGGGCCAAUACUGACGCUGAGGUUCGAAAGCGUGGGGAGCAAACGGGAUUAGAUACCCCGGUAGUCCACGCAGUAAACGAUGAGUGCUAGAUGUUGGGAACAUUAGUUUUCAGUAUCGCAGCUAACGCGUUAAGCACUCCGCCUGGGAAGUACGGCCGCAAGGCUAAAACUCAAAUGAAUUGACGGGGACCCGCACAAGCGGUGGAUCAUGUGGUUUAAUUCGAAGCAACGCGAAGAACCUUACCGGCUCUUGACAUACCAAUCGCGGAUCUAAGAAAUUAGAUCCUUCACUUCGGGUGGAUUGGAUACAGGUGCUGCAUGGCUGUCGUCAGCUCGUGUCGUGAGAUGUUGGGUUAAGUCCCGCAACGAGCGCAACCCCUACCUUCAAUUGCCAGCACGUUAUGGUGGGAACUUUGAAGGAACUGCCGGUGAUAAGCCGGAGGAAGGUGGGGAUGACGUCAAGUCCUCAUGGCCCUUACGGGCCGGGCUACACACGUGAUACAAUGGUGAUUACAAAGGGCUGCUACAGAGCGAUCUCAAGCGAAUCCUUAAAAGUCAUCUCAGUUCGGAUUGCACUCUGCAACUCGAGUGCAUGAAGUUGGAAUCGCUAGUAAUCGUAGAUCAGCGCGCUACGGUGAAUACGUUCCCGGGUCUUGUACACACCGCCCGUCACACCAUGGGAGUUGGUUUUACCUGAAGCUAGUUCGCUAACCGCAAGGAGGCAGCUAACCACGGUAAGAUUAGCGACCGGGGUGAAGUCGUAACAAGGUAACC